AUUGAACGCUGGCGGCAUGCCUUACACAUGCAAGUCGAACGGCAGCACGGGAGCAAUCCUGGUGGCGAGUGGCGAACGGGUGAGUAAUACAUCGGAACGUGCCCAGUUGUGGGGGAUAGCCCGGCGAAAGCCGGAUUAAUACCGCAUACGACCUACGGGUGAAAGCGGGGGAUCGCAAUACCUCGCGCAAUUGGAGCGGC
This 200-nucleotide ribosomal RNA is filed under the name uncultured bacterium. Its description in RNAcentral is "partial 16S ribosomal RNA". It matches the Rfam family "Bacterial small subunit ribosomal RNA", at positions 30 to 230 of the family's 1533-position model. The record is from RNAcentral.